AACCGGUAAUUUACACCCUUAAUUACGUGAUUAACAGGUAAUUACGCAAUAAUAAAUAGGGUUUACGACGCAAAUUAACUUAAUUAGGCCCUUGGAGUGCCUAGGAACGCUUAUCCGACCCUACAAUACGCUUUUGAAGAUUCGCGCGGCAUCUGCGGAACAUCAAUUGACAACGGACUGAAACCGUACGAAAUACUGACAACGCCAACAAAUAUGGAUAUUACAUGAAUAUUCUAUGCUCAUGGAGUUUGGGUCGCGAUAUCGGGUCUCGUAGGAAUUACGGGCCACCUACUCAUGAGAUGGGCUUGUGGGCCCUGAGGCCAAGUCCAAAACCCGCAAGCCUAAACCUGCAUAAUAUAUAAGAUCUACAAAAUAUAGCCAAAUCUCUACAAAAGAUUUGCAAUAAUCCUACUAAAUCCUAAAAUCUCUAUAAAUCUUUACAAAAGAUAUCAUCUCAAAAGAUAUAACAUAUAACCUGAAUAGAAUUUGAAAACAUAAAGGAUAAUAAAAGUUGGCCACUCUAUUAAUACACAUCCACUCCUUCUCAUCUAAACUCACACUGCCUUUCACCUUCCUCCCUCUCGGUUACAUAUACAAACACAGGGAAUUUCUCACCUGCACAAGACAAAAACCCAAAUCAAACAACUUUCCUCACCAAACAAAACCCAACCCAACCCAGCCGACCACCCCUACCCCUCUCGGUCUAUCUCUCCUCUCGUUCUAUACAUUCAAACACAAAGAAAUCAGCUCCCAACCCACUUGUUUUACCCCCUAUUAAUGGGCCAACCACCACCAUCCUUUGGUGGUGGCAGACUACAACAACAAACACCACCACCACCACAGGCGGCGGCGCUGUGGUGGUUGGUACCGAAUGAUGAAGAGAACAGAACCGCCGCACGCGGCGGCGGUAUGACGGCAAGAGAGAGAGAGAGUAGAGAGAGAUGGUGACAGCGGCUGACUAGCGACGGAGCCGUCUCUCCGACGGCGGCGGCGGUGGUCUGAGACUUAGACCGGCAGUUCGUGUUACGGACCGGUGGUUCGUGUCAAGAUCCAGCGGUUUUUGCUUUUGACUAAUGGGUUAACCGGGAGUAGCGGCUGAAGACGGUGGUGAUGACGAUGGUGACGGCAGUGGCAGCGUGACGGUGGUUGUGUCUCGAUCCACGAGAUUUCCGCAAACGUCAACAGUUGGGGUUCGGGUUAGAUGUUGAGUUUCGGGUUUUCGGGUGCAGGUCAGCGCUGUGGUUCAGCUUGUUGCGGUUCACACGGUUCAGCAGGUUUAAUUUUCGGGCCAACUGGUUAACGGGUUGACUCGGUCAAACUGAGUCAACUCAGUCAACAAGUCAAAGCUGGUCAACAUCGAGUCAUUGCUCGGGCUUGGUCAACUCGGGUCAGAUUAGGAAGCGGUUCGGUCGACUCGGUCAAACCCGGUCAACAGCGAGUUGACUCGGUCAACUCAGCUAGCUCACUCGACAUUUCGUCACGAAGACUUGGUAAAAACUAAUGACAAGUUUAGUAUUUUCGUGAUUUAUACUUACGUGAUAACGAGCUCGAACCAAACAAAAUAAUGAAAGUAAUAGUUAAAGAGUACUUUGAUUUAUUAUUUCGUUUUUAUAAAUUGAUGAUACGUAAUUAUUGUUGAAUA
Long non-coding RNA from Helianthus annuus (common sunflower), 1642 nucleotides. RefSeq lists it as uncharacterized. NCBI's taxonomy places the organism in Eukaryota, Viridiplantae, Streptophyta, Magnoliopsida, Asterales, Asteraceae. The transcript is spliced from 2 exons. The record is from RefSeq and is a predicted model, not a curated record.